Molecule: ribosomal RNA, 253 nt
Filed under: uncultured bacterium
Lineage: Bacteria
Description: partial 16S ribosomal RNA
Rfam family: Bacterial small subunit ribosomal RNA
Source: RNAcentral
UACAGAGGUCCCGAGCGUUGUUCGGAUUCACUGGGCGUAAAGGGUGCGUAGGUGGUGGGGUAAGUCGGAUGUGAAAGCUCGGAGCUCAACUCCGAAAUGGCAUUGGAAACUACCCUGCUGGAGGUUUGGAGGGGGGACUGGAAUACUUGGUGUAGCAGUGAAAUGCGUAGAUAUCAAGUGGAACACCAGUGGCGAAGGCGAGUCCCUGGACAAAACCUGACACUGAGGCGCGAAAGCUAGGGGAGCAAACGGG